This 75-nucleotide transfer RNA is filed under the name Bacteroidota bacterium. Its description in RNAcentral is "Bacteroidetes bacterium (activated sludge metagenome) tRNA-OTHER". It matches the Rfam family "tRNA". Rfam says of the family: Transfer RNA (tRNA) molecules are approximately 80 nucleotides in length. RNAcentral also lists the same sequence under 1 other name. Lineage: Bacteria; Pseudomonadati; Bacteroidota. The record is from RNAcentral.
GCUUUUGUAGCUCAGGGGUAGAGCAUCCGCCAGCUGGCGGAGAAGAGGUCACGGGUUCAAUUCCCGUCAACAGCU